Molecule: non-coding RNA, 126 nt
Organism: Pelobates cultripes (western spadefoot toad)
Lineage: Eukaryota; Metazoa; Chordata; Amphibia; Anura; Pelobatidae
Source: the annotation of a GenBank genome assembly
GUGUGUGUGUGUGUUUGUAUAGUGUGUGUAUAUAAUGCAGUGUGUGUGUUUGUAAAGUGUGUGUGUGUGUUUGUAUACAAUGCACACAAAUACACUGCAUUAUAUACACACUAUACAAACACACUG